This 253-nucleotide ribosomal RNA is filed under the name uncultured bacterium. Its description in RNAcentral is "partial 16S ribosomal RNA". It matches the Rfam family "Bacterial small subunit ribosomal RNA", at positions 524 to 776 of the family's 1533-position model. The record is from RNAcentral.
UACAGAGGGUGCGAGCGUUAAUCGGAAUUACUGGGCGUAAAGCGCACGUAGGCGGCUUGGUAUGUCGGGGGUGAAAUCCCCGGGCUCAACCUGGGAACUGCAUCCGAAACUGCCUUGCUCGAGUAUGGGAGAGGGAAGUGGAAUUUCCGGUGUAGCGGUGAAAUGCGCAGAUAUCAGGAGGAACACCGGUGGCGAAGGCGGGUCUCUGGGCAAUAACUGACGCUGAGGAGCGAAAGCGUGGGGAGCGAACAGG